GACGAACGCUGGCGGCGUGCUUAACACAUGCAAGUCGAACGAUGAAGCCUUUCGGGGUGGAUUAGUGGCGAACGGGUGAGUAACACGUGGGUAAUCUGCCCUGCACUCUGGGAUAAGCCCGGGAAACUGGGUCUAAUACCGGAUAUGACUUUCUUACGCAUGUAGGAAGGUGGAAAGUUCCGGCGGUGCAGGAUGAACCCGCGGCCUAUCAGCUUGUUGGUGGGGUAAUGGCCUACCAAGGCGACGACGGGUAGCCGGCCUGAGAGGGCGACCGGUCACACUGGGACUGAGACACGGCCCAGACUCCUACGGGAGGCAGCAGUGGGGAAUAUUGCACAAUGGGCGAAAGCCUGAUGCAGCGACG
Molecule: ribosomal RNA, 364 nt
Filed under: uncultured bacterium
Lineage: Bacteria
Description: bacterial SSU rRNA
Rfam family: Bacterial small subunit ribosomal RNA
Source: RNAcentral